Molecule: long non-coding RNA, 663 nt
Organism: Benincasa hispida (wax gourd)
Lineage: Eukaryota; Viridiplantae; Streptophyta; Magnoliopsida; Cucurbitales; Cucurbitaceae
Source: RefSeq, a predicted model, not a curated record
CAUCUUGUUCACGAGAUAGAGGACAAUGAAGUAUUCUCUGUGGUUUUUUCUCUUAAGAAAACAUAUAGAAGAAAAAAGGUUUUUCUUCUCUCUCAAAAUCUCUUCCACUCCUAAAAAGUGAGAGAAGCCCACAACUUUCCUUAUAAUUCUCACCCUUAAGGAAAAUACAGUAGAUUAACUUGUGAUAGUGGCCAAUCUUGGAUUGAUGCAAUUCUCUAAAUUAGGAUUUCGUGAAGACCUUUUGGAUUCAAGGCUUGGAUAAUCACAACCACAAAGAAAAGAUCAUAGCAAAAGUAAAUAUCAUCAAAGCACAGAAAAAGGUGUGUUAUUAUGGAGAAGAUCACCAGGCUCAUUUCCCUUCCUCUCUUACUUCUCCUUUGCCUUGUUUCCAAUUCUCAUUCUCAAGAUUUUGAGGAUCAAUCAAAAACAUGCCCAGUGAAAUUUGCUUCAACAGGGACAUGUUCAGGGCCAUUUGGAAUAUCAGAAUGCUACCAUGAAGCAAUGGCAAAAUAUGGAAAUAUCCCACCAAAGGGUUGUGAAUGCAUUCCUAAUGGUGUUGACUCUCGCUUUUGCCUUUGCAAUAUUAUUUGUUAAUUAUAAACUGUUUUUGUUAACAGUGUGAUACAUUAAUCAAAUAAAUGAGUGCUUGUAAUACCAGGCCAA